ACGAAGGGGACUAGCGUUGUUCGGAAUCACUGGGCGUAAAGCGCACGUAGGCGGAUUUGUAAGUCAGGGGUGAAAUCCCGGGGCUCAACCUCGGAACUGCCUUUAAUACUGGGUAUCUCGAGUUCGAGAGAGGUGAGUGGAAUUCCGAGUGUAUAGGUGAAAUUCGUAGAUAUUCGCAAGAACACCAGUGGCGAAGGCGGCUCACUGGCCCGAUACUGACGCUGAGGCACGAAAGCGUGGGGAGCAAACAGGA
This 253-nucleotide ribosomal RNA is filed under the name uncultured prokaryote. Its description in RNAcentral is "partial 16S ribosomal RNA". It matches the Rfam family "Bacterial small subunit ribosomal RNA", at positions 525 to 777 of the family's 1533-position model. The record is from RNAcentral.